AUCCCUGCGUGGUACGAGAAAUAGGUAUUUUAGAACCAACAUAUAAGGAAAGGGAGCUCGGGCUCUAAAUAUGGCGUGCAAGCUUAUACUUUUAUAAUAAGAAGCCCAGAAGUAUUUAGGAGGGCACCCACCUGCAAGGAGCAGGUCCUUAAAAUCCCUAUAAGAAACGGCCAAGGCGGGGAU
This 183-nucleotide non-coding RNA is filed under the name pig gut metagenome. RNAcentral's name for it is "6S / SsrS RNA". It matches the Rfam family "6S / SsrS RNA". From Rfam's summary of the family: E. coli 6S RNA was the first non coding RNA to be sequenced, but its function was unknown until recently. It consists of 184 nucleotides that fold into an extended hairpin structure with a large single-stranded internal bulge. The record is from RNAcentral.